UAUUUAUAUAAAAUAGAGUUUGCUCUCUCCUUAUAGAGCCACCUAGGAUGCCACAUCAGAAAUUCUAGCUCUGUGAAAUCGACAUCUGUCAUCUCUCACCAAAACUCACCGUAUCACCUGUUAUUCACAGUUUUGCAUUUGUCGCAAGCGUCUCUUCUAAUUCUUCUUCUGUUUCUCUACUCUUGAUCAUUCAUUCCUCUUCGUUAAAUCUUAUAUGCGUGAGCCAUAAUACUCUUCCAACUUCCUCUCUUUCUCCAAUAAUAUAAACAUGUCUGUCGAAGAUUUUACCGAAUCAAAUUCUACAACAUCCAUUCACCAAAAAUCAAUCGACAGGGUUCCACUAUAGUCGUCGAUAUCCACCAUUAGAGACGUGAUGUAGGGUUCCACCACGAUCAUCUAAAUCGGCCAUUAGAGAGACUGAGAUGCAGAAGUCUGUGUGACGAAUCUGUUGGUUGGGUUUCGAUCAGUCCUUUCGCCUUCUUUCCAUCCAUCACAGUAAACGAGAUAGUAAACAUCAGUGUUUGUUUGAUUUUCUUAAUUUCUAGAUUAUUUUUAGAUUACAAGUUUAUAUUAUGGGAUGGAUAAUGUGAGGAAACCUGUUGUGAAUCCUUUUAGCUCGGAUUUACCCGGGGAUGACGACUUACUAAUAUGCCUCAACUAAAGACAAUCUUAAACAUGUUAAGUGGUCCAAUUCCAGAUACAUUUAUGAAUCUGGAUUAUACCUUUACGUUCUUGAGUAAUAACUACUUAACAAGUGAAGUUCCUCUAUUUGUCCUCAACAGUAGAGCCAUGCUGGUGAUUGUUGCUACAAACAUUAACCAAAAAAUGGUUGGAGGCCGUUUGUUCCUUAAUUCCAUGUCGGGAAUACACAUUUACUUAGACAAUGAAACAAAUGCAGGAGAACCUGUAUUUACAGGUUGGUCGCCAGAGACACUGGUCUUCCAUCGGCCGCACCACUCCUGAGAGGGUAUGCAAAGGUUGAGCCCCUACAAUAGCUGAGCUCAAUAGUUUUGUCAUCACUGCACCGUCUCAGAAUAUUGAGUUCAUAUGCACUGAGAGUUACUCGCGUCGACCUAGAGAAAGGAUGGUGUUACGUCGCUUGCUCUGAAUGCACCAAAAGCUGCAGCGCACUGACUCCUCAUUUGCAUGUGUGCGAUGCGACAAUGCUCAUGCUGUUGGUGCUCUCCGCUACAGAAUAGAGAUGGACAUUGCUGAUGAUACUGCUAAAGGUUUUUUUGUUUGUUUUGAUGAUGUAAUGACAAAAUAACGUAACCUCAAAGCAAGUCAAGCUGGUCAAAUGUUGGCUGAAAAAGGUGUGAACCCUGAGGACUCUCGGAUGCCUCUGUUUAUUACAUACAUGGAAGGAAAGACACACGGCGAGCCAUCAGACAUUCACCAUCACACGCAUUUUUGAUGAACGUGAUCGUGUGCCCCUCCCUGACUUCGUUGACAAUGGAGGGUACGAUAAUGAUGGUGGCGACAUGCCAGGUGAUAAUCCAAUUCCUUAGUGGUGAAGCAGCUUUGAAUGGUGGUACGGAUACAAAUGGUGAUGUGUCAAACAAGGUGGCCAAUCCAGCUUCGCAGGUUGUCAAGAUCUUUGAGCGAAGUACUCUGUAUUUAGAUAAUGCUUAUGCAUUAGCUUUCCUUUCCACGUUUUCGUUUUCUCUACUUUUGACUUUCACCACUUAGUGGUUCUAUGUUUGAGUCAAACAAACUUCUUAUUUCCUAUUAAAAAUAUCUUUAAGCUUCA
Molecule: long non-coding RNA, 1750 nt
Organism: Brassica napus (rape)
Lineage: Eukaryota; Viridiplantae; Streptophyta; Magnoliopsida; Brassicales; Brassicaceae
Exons: 11
Source: RefSeq, a predicted model, not a curated record